Homo sapiens (human) is the source of this 574-nucleotide long non-coding RNA. Ensembl annotates it as GUSB pseudogene 5. Its record names the gene GUSBP5. NCBI's taxonomy places the organism in Eukaryota, Metazoa, Chordata, Mammalia, Primates, Hominidae. The record is from Ensembl.
GCACUAGAAAUUCCUCCCAGUCGAGGGCUUUUUUUCCCUCCUGUGAAAAAUAAACCAGAAGAAAGGAGAAGAUGUAUUUUUGUAAUUUAGUUUCAUGAUUUUAAGGACCAAAUCUCAGCUUUAUUUCUCUAGAAUAGGAAAUAGAGAUAUCGUUGUCAUCUUAUGUUUUUUCUCACUUGAUCUGAUCUAUGAUCUGUUGAAACUUGAUCAUCUGUUCUUGCAAAUGCCCUGGAAUACACUUGUGUCAGUGACAAAUGCUGCUUUGCUGUGCUACAUCGAGUACAAGAAAUACAUGGGCUAUCUUCAGCACAGAACACAAACUCUGCCUUCUUUUCUCAAGUCCAGUGAUUCAAGUUUGACACACCACACCACGGUGGAUGUGCCUUGUCAUGACACAUCUUCUCAGCAGCACUAGAAGAUACAUCCAAAGUCCUGUGAGCAAGGACACAGCGAGAAGAUGGCUGUCUACAAGCCAGGAAGAGAGUCCUCACCAGAACCAAACCCUGCUGGACUUUGAUCUUGGACUUCCCAGCCUCUAAAACUGUGAAGACAUAAAUUUCUGUUGUUAAACCCA